Molecule: non-coding RNA, 120 nt
Organism: Picea glauca (white spruce)
Lineage: Eukaryota; Viridiplantae; Streptophyta; Pinopsida; Pinales; Pinaceae
Source: Rfam
UAUGUACAUGCCUACAACGUUAAUGCAUCGGAUCUCAUAAGAACUUCGUAGUUAAGCACACUUGUGCUAGAGUAGUACUGGGAUGGGUGACCUCCCAGGAAGUCCUAGUGUUUUACAUGC